CCUACGGGGUGCAGCAGUGGGGAAUAUUGGACAAUGGGCGAAAGCCUGAUCCAGCCAUGCCGCGUGUGUGAAGAAGGCCUUCGGGUUGUAAAGCACUUUCAGUGGGGAAGAAAGCCUUGGGGCUAAUACCCUCGAGGAAGGACAUCACCCACAGAAGAAGCACCGGCUAACUCCGUGCCAGCAGCCGCGGUAAUACGGAGGGUGCGAGCGUUAAUCGGAAUUACUGGGCGUAAAGCGCGCGUAGGCGGUCUGAUAAGCCGGUUGUGAAAGCCCCGGGCUCAACCUGGGAACGGCAUCCGGAACUGUCAGGCUAGAGUGCAGGAGAGGAAGGUAGAAUUCCCGGUGUAGCGGUGAAAUGCGUAGAGAUCGGGAGGAAUACCAGUGGCGAAGGCGGCCUUCUGGACUGACACUGACGCUGAGGUGCGAAAGCGUGGGUAGCAAACAGGAUUACAUACCCGUGUAGUC
RNAcentral lists this ribosomal RNA (465 nucleotides) under Vreelandella stevensii. RNAcentral's name for it is "partial 16S ribosomal RNA". It matches the Rfam family "Bacterial small subunit ribosomal RNA", at positions 338 to 795 of the family's 1533-position model. Lineage: Bacteria; Pseudomonadati; Pseudomonadota; Gammaproteobacteria; Oceanospirillales; Halomonadaceae. The record is from RNAcentral.